AGCGAACGCUGGCGGCAGGCCUAACACAUGCAAGUCGAACGAACCUUUCGGGGUUAGUGGCGGACGGGUGAGUAACACGUGGGAACGUGCCUUUAGGUUCGGAAUAACUCAGGGAAACUUGUGCUAAUACCGAAUGUGCCCUUCGGGGGAAAGAUUUAUCGCCUUUAGAGCGGCCCGCGUCUGAUUAGCUAGUUGGUUGAGGUAAUGGCUCACCAAGGCGACGAUCAGUAGCUGGUCUGAGAGGAUGAUCAGCCACAUUGGGACUGAGACACGGCCCAAACUCCUACGGGAGGAAGCAGUGGGGAAUCUUGCGCAAUGGGCGAAAGCCUGAAGCAGCCAUGCCGCGUGAAUGAUGAAGGUCUUAGGAUUGUAAAAUUCUUUCACCGGGGACGAUAAUGACGGUACCCGGAGAAGAAGCCCCGGCUAACUUCGUG
This 434-nucleotide ribosomal RNA is filed under the name uncultured bacterium. RNAcentral describes it as "partial 16S ribosomal RNA". It matches the Rfam family "Bacterial small subunit ribosomal RNA", at positions 29 to 507 of the family's 1533-position model. The record is from RNAcentral.